Molecule: ribosomal RNA, 908 nt
Filed under: uncultured bacterium
Lineage: Bacteria
Description: bacterial SSU rRNA
Rfam family: Bacterial small subunit ribosomal RNA
Source: RNAcentral
GUUGGAUGUGAAACCCAUGGGCUCAACCCAUGGCNUGCAUCCAAAACUGUGUUUCUUGAGUAGUGCAGAGGUAGGCGGAAUUCCCGGUGUAGCGGUGGAAUGCGUAGAUAUCGGGAGGAACACCAGUGGCGAAGGCGGCCUACUGGGCACCAACUGACGCUGAGGCUCGAAAGCAUGGGUAGCAAACAGGAUUAGAUACCCUGGUAGUCCAUGCCGUAAACGAUGAUUACUAGGUGUUGGAGGAUUGACCCCUUCAGUGCCGCAGUUAACACAAUAAGUAAUCCACCUGGGGAGUACGACCGCAAGGUUGAAACUCAAAGGAAUUGACGGGGGCCCGCACAAGCAGUGGAGUAUGUGGUUUAAUUCGAAGCAACGCGAAGAACCUUACCAGGUCUUGACAUCGGAUGCAUAGCCUAGAGAUAGGCGAAGCCCUUCGGGGCAUCCAGACAGGUGGUGCAUGGUUGUCGUCAGCUCGUGUCGUGAGAUGUUGGGUUAAGUCCCGCAACGAGCGCAACCCUUGUUAUUAGUUGCUACGCAAGAGCACUCUAAUGAGACUGCCGUUGACAAAACGGAGGAAGGUGGGGAUGACGUCAAAUCAUCAUGCCCCUUAUGACCUGGGCUACACACGUACUACAAUGGCGAUCAACAGAGGGAAGCAAAACCGCGAGGUGGAGCAAAACCCUAAAAGUCGUCUCAGUUCAGAUUGCAGGCUGCAACUCGCCUGUAUGAAGUCGGAAUUGCUAGUAAUCGCGGAUCAGCAUGCCGCGGUGAAUACGUUCCCGGGCCUUGUACACACCGCCCGUCACACCAUGGAAGUCGGUAACGCCCGAAGUCAGUAGUCUAACCGCAAGGGGGACGCUGCCGAAGGCGGGAUCGGUAACUGGGGUGAAGUCGUAACAAGGUAACCA